RNAcentral lists this non-coding RNA (28 nucleotides) under Rattus norvegicus (Norway rat). Lineage: Eukaryota; Metazoa; Chordata; Mammalia; Rodentia; Muridae. The record is from RNAcentral.
UGAUUUUCCUGGUUUAAUAGCUGUGUAC